RNAcentral lists this ribosomal RNA (252 nucleotides) under uncultured bacterium. RNAcentral's name for it is "partial 16S ribosomal RNA". It matches the Rfam family "Bacterial small subunit ribosomal RNA", at positions 524 to 776 of the family's 1533-position model. The record is from RNAcentral.
UACGUAGGCAGCAAGCGUUGUUCGGAGUUACUGGGCGUAAAGAGUGCGUAGGUGGUGCCCUAAGUCUGUUGUGAAAUCUCCCGGCUUAACUGGGGGGUGCGGUGGAAACUGCAGGACUUGAGGCUGGGAGGGGCUGGUGGAAUUCCCUGUGUAGCGGUGAAAUGCGUAGAGAUGGGGGAGAACACUCGUGGCGAAGGCGGCCAGCUAGACCAGUUCUGACACUGAGGCGCGAUAGCGUGGGGAGCAAACAGG